Molecule: non-coding RNA, 289 nt
Organism: Drosophila melanogaster (fruit fly)
Lineage: Eukaryota; Metazoa; Arthropoda; Insecta; Diptera; Drosophilidae
Source: Ensembl
GACCUACUUAGCCAGCAAAGCUGAACCAGUCAGUCAGCCAAGCAGCAGCGUCUCUCGCUCAAUGACGCAACUGAUGUGCUCACCCAUACCACAGCCCAUCAAGAGCGGAGAAACUGAAACGGAGACUGAGACAGAGACAGUGACAUAGAGCGAAACCGAGAGAAUCCCCAAGAGAAAGAGACGACGUGUUGUAAUACCAGAGCAUCCAAAACUAGGCCUUAACUUAUCUACAUACCAUAUCAUCAUACAAAAUGUAUCUAUUGACUAUUGAGCGUGCGGUUGCUACUAU